This 528-nucleotide ribosomal RNA is filed under the name uncultured bacterium. Its description in RNAcentral is "bacterial SSU rRNA". It matches the Rfam family "Bacterial small subunit ribosomal RNA", at positions 984 to 1509 of the family's 1533-position model. The record is from RNAcentral.
ACAUCCAGAGAAUUUAGCAGAGAUGCUUUAGUGCCUUCGGGAACUCUGAGACAGGUGCUGCAUGGCUGUCGUCAGCUCGUGUUGUGAAAUGUUGGGUUAAGUCCCCGNAACGAGCGCAACCCUUUAUCCUUUGUUGCCAGCACGUAAUGGUGGGAACUCAAAGGAGACUGCCGGUGAUAAACCGGAGGAAGGUGGGGAUGACGUCAAGUCAUCAUGGCCCUUACGAGUAGGGCUACACACGUGCUACAAUGGCGCAUACAAAGAGAAGCGACCUCGCGAGAGCAAGCGGACCUCAUAAAGUGCGUCGUAGUCCGGAUUGGAGUCUGCAACUCGACUCCAUGAAGUCGGAAUCGCUAGUAAUCGUAAAUCAGAAUGUUACGGUGAAUACGUUCCCGGGCCUUGUACACACCGCCCGUCACACCAUGGGAGUGGGUUGCAAAAGAAGUAGAUAGCUUAACCUUCGGGAGGGCGUUUACCACUUUGUGAUUCAUGACUGGGGUGAAGUCGUAACAAGGUAAGCGUAGUGCU